GAUAAAAUUCGAGAAGAAAGGUUGAGAUGGUUUGAGUAUGUGAUGAGGAGGGGUACGGAUGCUCCAGUCCGCAGGUGUGAGAGUAUAGUGUUGGAGGGUUUCAGGAGGAGGAGAGGUAGGCCGAAGAAGUAUUGGAGGAAAGUGAUUAGACACGAUAUGGAGCAGCUACAGCUUACCGAGGACAUGACCCUAGAUAGGAAGGCGUGGAGGUUGCGAAUAAGGGUAGAAGGCUAGGAUGAGUGCGUGAGUUGUAGCAAGUAGGUAGGAGUCACUAGUCAGGAGGGCCCAGGUUUUCUUGGUCUGUGAAUGUUUGUUACUACUAGGGGGUGUCGUAUUCUGGAUGCCCUAUCGCUUAUCUCUUAUUUAUUGCGCCUAUUUAUCUUAUUUAGUAUUGC
This 395-nucleotide long non-coding RNA is filed under the name Capsicum annuum. RNAcentral's name for it is "long non-coding RNA (CANN_LNC003163)". The record is from RNAcentral. Lineage: Eukaryota; Viridiplantae; Streptophyta; Magnoliopsida; Solanales; Solanaceae.